CAGAAAUUUGAGUGAGAAGCAUGUGAAGAGAGGGAUGGCCCAGGGGCCCUUGGCCAUGGUGGCCUUGGACAAGUUUGGCUUUCCCCAUCUGUAAAAUGUAGAUAAGGAUGGACCCACCUCCCCAAGAUCCUGCCUAUCUGUGAGAGUCCAUGACUAAGUGGGCCAUGGGCUGGACUGAGUUCAGUGCUCCCCCAACCUGCCCUCCUCCUCUCCCCCACAGAGCUUCCCAAUUUACAUGUAAACCUUGGGCAUCAAAGUGACAGCUGAUAGCCCAGGUUUGCCCACAAAUGUGCUCUGACUGGCGUGCAUGUUAUUAAAUUUGAUAAGAUGCAUGAUGGCAGCUAUUAGAGUUUUGACUCUGUUCUUUACCAGUAGUGUGACCUUCGGCAAGUCACUUAACGUAGCUGUGCCAAAGCAUCCUCAUAUGUAAAAUGGAGGUAGUGAUAGG
RNAcentral lists this long non-coding RNA (448 nucleotides) under Homo sapiens (human). RNAcentral's name for it is "HSALNT0263339". Lineage: Eukaryota; Metazoa; Chordata; Mammalia; Primates; Hominidae. The record is from RNAcentral.